This 193-nucleotide ribosomal RNA is filed under the name uncultured Acinetobacter sp. Its description in RNAcentral is "partial 16S ribosomal RNA". It matches the Rfam family "Bacterial small subunit ribosomal RNA", at positions 340 to 524 of the family's 1533-position model. Lineage: Bacteria; Pseudomonadati; Pseudomonadota; Gammaproteobacteria; Moraxellales; Moraxellaceae. The record is from RNAcentral.
UACGGGAGGCAGCAGUGGGGAAUAUUGGACAAUGGGCGAAAGCCUGAUCCAGCCAUGCCGCGUGUGUGAAGAAGGCCUUUUGGUUGUAAAGCACUUUAAGCGAGGAGGAGGCUACUGAGAUUAAUACUCUUGGAUAGUGGACGUUACUCGCAGAAUAAGCACCGGCUAACUCUGUGCCAGCAGCCGCGGUAAU